GUUCAUCUACUGCACAAUGAGAAUGCUAGACAUGCAUCUCAGGUGGCUUCAGGACUCACAAAAGAGGGACAUCUAAGCAGACUGGAAGAAGAGACCUGGGCUGGAAGGGUCUUCCAAAUGCCAAAUACAGUGUUUGCAACACCUGAGAAUGAGAAGGAAUGGAGGAAGCACAGAGAAAUUCACUGAUGGGCCCCACAUCAUGCAGCCUGUCUGUACAAAUGUGAGGAUAUUGGAAAACACCAGCCUUCCAUCAUCUUCAUGGUUUCUCUGAAUAGAAUCCUAGGCUGUCCCUUAUUUCUGAUCAGAAGUUGGGGGGUGGACUUCAAGAAAAAAUUUUGAGUAUGAUCUGCAAAUAUAGGUGUAGGGCAUGGGGAAUGCACUAUUGAUGCAGUUAAAGGAGCCAGAUGCCCUACUAUAUGGAGAAGGCUCCACUUUACUUGAUGCUGGAAAACUUAGGGGAUUGGCCAGCAUCCUGAAAGACAAGAAAGGACUUAUAUAAGGUUCUUUUGGCAAAGGUGAGAAGUGAGAAAUGAAUAGUUUAUAAUGGAAGAUGUUUAAUAAGUUGGUAGACAUGAACCACAUUCUCAGUUUCUUGGACCUUAAAGCCCAAAAGAUGCAUAUUAAAAAGUGUAUUGCCUCUCAAAUUAUAACUAUUGUGAGAAAGGAGAAUGUUUUCUUCAUAUGGGAGUGAUGGAAAUUAUGCAGUUCUGGAGAAUAUAUGUAUCAGGAUAUAGAAAGUUGUACACCUUCUGAUUUCACUCUACUCACAAGACUGUUUUUACCAAAGAAUCAGGUGUUGUUUUUUUCCUACAGGAAGAGAAAUUGGGUAAUGGGAAUCAGAGAUGGGAAAGAGGCUUCUCACUCCAUUAAAUCAUGGAAUGAGUUACCUUUUCAGGAACUAAUUAUAUUAA
RNAcentral lists this long non-coding RNA (911 nucleotides) under Marmota monax (woodchuck). Lineage: Eukaryota; Metazoa; Chordata; Mammalia; Rodentia; Sciuridae. The record is from RNAcentral.